GACGAACGCUGGCGGCGUGCCUAAUACAUGCAAGUAGAACGCUGAAGAGAGGAGCUUGCUCUUCUUGGAUGAGUUGCGAACGGGUGAGUAACGCGUAGGUAACCUGCCUUGUAGCGGGGGAUAACUAUUGGAAACGAUAGCUAAUACCGCAUAACAAUGGAUGACACAUGUCAUUUAUUUGAAAGGGGCAAUUGCUCCACUACAAGAUGGACCUACGUUGUAUUAGCUAGUAGGUGAGGUAAUGGCUCACCUAGGCGACGAUACAUAGCCGACCUGAGAGGGUGAUCAGCCACACUGGGACUGAGACACGGCCCAGACUCCUACGGGAGGCAGCAGUAGGGAAUCUUCGGCAAUAGGGGCAACCCUGACCGAGCAACGCCGCGUGAGUGAAGAAGGUUUUCGGAUCGUAAAGCUCUGUUGUAAGUCAAGAACGGGUGUGAGAGUGGAAAGUUCACACUGUGACGGUAGCUUACCAGAAAGGGACGGCUAACUACGUG
Molecule: ribosomal RNA, 497 nt
Filed under: uncultured bacterium
Lineage: Bacteria
Description: partial 16S ribosomal RNA
Rfam family: Bacterial small subunit ribosomal RNA
Source: RNAcentral